UGGGCUACACACACGCUACAAUGGGAAGGGACAAUAGGGUUGCGAAGCCGCGAGGCGGAGCCAAUCCAAGCAAAACUUCCCUCAGUUCAGAUUGCAGGCUGCAACUCGCCUGCAUGAAGUUGGAGUUGCUAGUAAACGCAGGUCAGCCAUACUGCGUUGAAUUACCGGUUCCCCGGGGCUU
This 181-nucleotide ribosomal RNA is filed under the name uncultured Anaerolineaceae bacterium. Its description in RNAcentral is "partial 16S ribosomal RNA". The stretch from base 1 to 162 matches the Rfam family "Bacterial small subunit ribosomal RNA", at positions 1210 to 1367 of the family's 1533-position model. The record is from RNAcentral. Lineage: Bacteria; Bacillati; Chloroflexota; Anaerolineae; Anaerolineales; Anaerolineaceae.